Molecule: transfer RNA, 53 nt
Filed under: Caenorhabditis elegans
Lineage: Eukaryota; Metazoa; Nematoda; Chromadorea; Rhabditida; Rhabditidae
Description: tRNA-Ser (UCN)
Source: RNAcentral
AAACUAUUUUUAAAUAUGUUUUGAAAACAUGUUUUGAGGUAACUCGUAGUUUU